This 172-nucleotide microRNA precursor is filed under the name Medicago truncatula (barrel medic). RNAcentral's name for it is "MIR2680 microRNA precursor family". It matches the Rfam family "MIR2680 microRNA precursor family". The record is from Rfam by way of RNAcentral. Lineage: Eukaryota; Viridiplantae; Streptophyta; Magnoliopsida; Fabales; Fabaceae.
AUAGGAUCUAGACCUGGCAUAUCUUCAUACGACCAUGACAAAAAAUAUCCGGAUAUUCCCGGAGGAGUUGGAUGAUCUUUCUUUUUUAACCCCUUCCUCUAGAGCAGCACCGAUCUUGAUUUCUCGCUUGUUCUCCUCGGUACCUAUGUUGAUAAGCUCAAUCUCUUCCUGG